GGGGAAUAUUGGACAAUGGGCGCAAGCCUGAUCCAGCCAUGCCGCGUGAGUGAAGAAGGCCUUAGGGUUGUAAAGCUCUUUCGGCGGGGACGAUGAUGACGGUACCCGCAGAAGAAGCCCCGGCUAACUUCGUGCCAGCAGCCGCGGUAAUACGAAGGGGGCAAGCGUUGUUCGGAUUUACUGGGCGUAAAGGGCGCGUAGGCGGAUGGACAAGUCAGAGGUGAAAGCCCUGGGCUCAACCCGGGAACUGCCUUUGAAACUGUUCGUCUUGAGUAUGGGAGAGGAUGGCGGAAUACCCAGUGUAGAGGUGAAAUUCGUAGAUAUUGGGUAGAACACCAGUGGCGAAGGCGGCCAUCUGGCCCAUAACUGACGCUGAGGCGCGAAAGCGUGGGGAGCAAAC
This 400-nucleotide ribosomal RNA is filed under the name uncultured bacterium. RNAcentral describes it as "bacterial SSU rRNA". It matches the Rfam family "Bacterial small subunit ribosomal RNA", at positions 356 to 773 of the family's 1533-position model. The record is from RNAcentral.